UGCAGAGCUUGAAGCAAGAUGUCAGAAACUGCGGGCACAGUUGGAAAACAAAAAGUAUGAGGAGAUGGUCAAAAAUAUUGAUAGAUUAAAAACGGAUUACUACUCUGCUGGCAGAGAUGUGAAAGAAAUGAAGAGGCAAUUGGUUUCUGUGUUCAACUUUAUCGUAACUGUGGGUGGGGCAUUUGCUUUUGGAUACAAGGCAACGCAAUAUACAUUUAGUGGGUACAGCAAUGUUUUUGCCCUG
Molecule: long non-coding RNA, 244 nt
Organism: Mercenaria mercenaria
Lineage: Eukaryota; Metazoa; Mollusca; Bivalvia; Venerida; Veneridae
Exons: 3
Source: RefSeq, a predicted model, not a curated record